CAUCCCAGGGUGGGGGGACUGGUGGCUAACACAACAACAACAACAAGACCACAUCAACAUAGGGGACAUAUGGACAUCACUGCAACUCCUACACAGGCUUUAUCUCAAUUGACUUCUAAAACACUGGAUUAUUUGGCUUUAGACCUUUUACUUUUUCGAUCAAAACGGAUUUUAUCAAAGAAACAGUUUUGGCCUAGCCAUGCAGAAUCAGCAGACACUGGAGGAUUCCUCCCUGACCUCAACCUUAUGGAAUACGGCCGGUCAGAUGGUGUGUUUCACGUCAUCUCCUGGCAGUGUUUGGACCUGAGGGGCUCAUAGGGGAGAUGGGUUCAGCCAGGGGAGGACAUCCAAGUCAUGUGACUAUGUGCCAUGAAACCUCAUGGGAGGAUAUAGUAUUAGUUCAUUUAUUUGCUUAGAUGGAGAGAUUACAAAAGGUUAUGACCAACAAGAUGCGCAACAUCAACCCAUGUGGGGAGAGGAAGGGUGAGCCUCACUUCUCAGCCAAGUGAAUGUGAGAUGAACUAAGGGAGAGGCCAAGUGGAUAUGAGAUGAACCAAGUGGAUCAUGGACAGUGUAGGUAGAUUGGAAGGAGGAUGUGAAGAGAACAAUGUAGGUGCUGGGCUGGGAAUAAAUCAAGGCAAAAUUCAUAAUAAUAAAGAUGAUAUGGGAUGUGAUACGAAAGAUAAAGCAUGUCAGGACAAGAGGACCAAAAGAGAAAGAUUGCAAUGAAUGAAAAGUCGGUCUCCCUUUGUAUAGCAGGGUAUAUUUAUACACUGUAAUCUGAAGUGUUUGGUCCUGCUGGUAAUGGUCACAUUGCAAUGCUAACUUAACGUGUUUAUAUUCAGUAACGCAAAAGCCACCUGUAGCAAUAAAAUGCAAGAACAUUCUGGAACUUAAAGGCAAAAUGAGCAGACAAUUAAGCUGAAAAGAGCACCAAGAUCUUGACCCGUUGCGAUCAUCAUUUGUUAUUGUAGCAGUGCUACUACUACGAGAACAAUAAACAAUAGGGCAGGCACUUCUGAGCGGGUAGUGGAGGAGUGGAAUCCUGACGUUGAGAAGGCAAGCGGAGAGAGUUAUAGUAGGGGAUCAUUGUGAUAAUAUACGAGACCAUACUGUCAGCAGGACCAUACUGUCAUCUCUACAGUCAAGUGCUCUAUGCCCAUCGUGCAACACUUUAAUAUUCCUCCUUGGAAUAUUGGAAAAGAAACAGUAAUGACACAUUCUCCCCAGUCACACCCACAACAACUGAAGGCCUCAGCAGACGAAAGACUCUUUCUAAUCAACAGCCAUUUAUUUGCAUUGAGCUAUAGGACCAGGACCUCCCAGUCGUUAACUGUCUUAUUCAUGUUUUCUUAGGUUCAGCGUGUCGGCUCCCACAGUGUUCAUCCAGUCACGGACCUCGUCAUGAGCCCUUAUGGCAGAAUACACAACUACAAAGUCAUAUAUCCAGUAACAUGGUUCCCUACUGUUAGCAGUUGCACGUUGUUUAGCCCCAAUUGGCUCUACAUCUAAUUCUCUCAAAUGAACGAAGUACCAAUGACGCUAUGGUCCUGCCUUGUAAUAAAAACACAUGUAGCCUGUAGCAACAGCUGUACUGUUAUGAAAGACUUUUACGUCAUGAUUGACAUUUUAUUAUUAUUCUGGGCAUGAUGAGUACUUAUAAAUGAAAGCCAGCUUAAGGCAUGAGUGGUGUCUCCUUCUAAAGUUGAUUUUUUUUCUUUCUCAGGACUUGUAAACACAUCAAAUUAGUAAAUGAAUACAUGAGACUUUUUCACAUGGAGACUUUACCAGCUGGACCAUAUUGUAUCUAUGAUCUAUGUUGAUUUAACUACUAAAUGAAGUCAUUUGACCCAGGAAUACGCCAAGAAUUUCCUGUGAUGUUGAGAGUAUUCCAAGAUUUUCUUUAAUGUACUGUAUAUUGCUGUGCACGGAAAUGUCUGUCAUCAAAAUAAGUUCAGUCAAUGAAACAUGAUGUUUUGGGGAAGUCACUUUAACACACCAGACCACUGCAUUUAGGAAAACACUCUUGAUCUAGGUUCUGGUGUCCAUAUCAUGGAUCACUUUGAUAUGUGCCAUUAUAAUGUGUUGAACUUUUAGUAUCCCCAGGGCCUAUUAUAUCUGUAUAGGACUAACAGCAACCGUGUUAAUGACUUGGAGUAAGAGCUUUGAACGGGACUGUGAUGCCAAGUUACCCAAAAUCCAUAAUGAUCCCUGAUGACAGAAUUUACAUGGGGAUUAAUGGACUCUGUGUCCAUUAGUUCAGCAAAGAUCUAUGACACAGUAUAAACAGAUUCAAAUGCAGUGUUCAGGAACAAAUCUGUGGGAUAAUAGAUCUUCACAAACAGGUCCCAAGACAGGAAUAUGGAUCUGGAUUGGAAGUAGCAAAUCCAAACAUGUUAAUCUGUGUGUGCUGAUGUAUGAUAAACAGUGAAGGACAAGUGGUGUAUGUCAUAUUGAAUAUAUACACGUGCGUUAGUAGUAGACGAAUACUAACGCUUGAGCAGGUGUGCUAACUGAGUACUAAUGUGGGCUUUGCUGGAAGGGUUGGCUGAUGAUCUGAAAAUAAUUGUGUCCAUGUCAGUUAAACCCUUAUCAAGCCUCAAUUACUCCUGGCACACUAUUUCCAACAAGGCAGCCCUGCUGAUAGUUCAGCCGAAACAACAGAACACACCACCGGCCUGACUGAAUGAACAGCCAGAGGCCUUGAAGUCACCAUAAACAUUCCCAUCUUUUGUCAACUUGAACACUACCUAGGACGAGGGGCAUCACUGGCCAGCGCUAGCAGUUUGCCACCGAACAUGGAAAUGGUUGGCUGCCUGUCUGGCUGCAAAAGGGGCCCCUGAAAGGAACAGCCAGUCUCACAGCGCAAGAGGGUGUUGACAAUGACACAGAUGCUUUCAGACAGUCAAAGCCUGGGGGGCGGGGGGUGCAUCAAACUUAUUCCUUAGCUCUUAUUGAAAAUAAUUUCAGUUUUUCCCCCCAAGUAGAAAAUAAUGUAUGAUUACCAUUACUGACGAAAAACUUUUGGUUUUAGUUUUCUGUCUUCUGUGUCUCUGUUUGUAAAUGUCUCAGAUUAAAAUGGUAUUGGUCAGCAUCUGAAAAAUGACCAAACUGAAGCCAAUGUCUCUUUGUUCUCCUGUUAAUCCUUCUUGGAGUCUGAAGUCUGUCUUCAAAAACAUCCUCCCCCUUUCAGUCAUGUUCUCUGUAUGUUCUGUGUUUUAUGACACUGUAUGUUCCACUAAGUGCAGCAGAACCCUCAGCAGAGAGGUGUAGUAAUAAAAGGGCUUGAUCAUG
This is a long non-coding RNA of Esox lucius (northern pike), 3294 nucleotides long. RefSeq lists it as uncharacterized. Lineage: Eukaryota; Metazoa; Chordata; Actinopteri; Esociformes; Esocidae. The transcript is spliced from 2 exons. The record is from RefSeq and is a predicted model, not a curated record.